RNAcentral lists this transfer-messenger RNA (374 nucleotides) under Burkholderiales. Its description in RNAcentral is "Ramlibacter sp016722895 Standard tmRNA". It matches the Rfam family "transfer-messenger RNA". From Rfam's summary of the family: Bacterial tmRNA, also known as 10Sa RNA or SsrA, is named for its dual tRNA and mRNA-like properties. Its role is to liberate the mRNA from a stalled ribosome. To accomplish this part of the tmRNA is used as a reading frame that ends in a translation stop signal. RNAcentral also lists the same sequence under 1 other name. Lineage: Bacteria; Pseudomonadati; Pseudomonadota; Betaproteobacteria. The record is from RNAcentral.
GGGGCUGCACUGGUUUCGACGUGGGUUCGGACACGCAGCAGGGCAUGUCGAGGUUCAGUCACCUCGUUAAUCCGCUGAAAUCAAGUAACUGCCAACGACAGCAAUUACGCUCUCGCCGCUUAAUUAACGGCGAACCUCGCAACAACCUGCCAAUGGGUUGGGCAAAGGGCGAAAGCUCCUAGCUGCGAGGGAAUUUUCAUUGGCUGGUCCUGACCCGGGUGCCUUGGGUCGGGACGAGAAAAUAGGGCACUGGCGGCCGGUGUAGCGUGCGUCUGCGCGACACCGGUGGCGAGAAACCAAAUCAGAACGCUACACAUGUAGAACUGCUCGUAGAAGGCUUGCGGACGCGGGUUCAAUUCCCGCCAGCUCCACCA